AUUGAACGCUGGCGGCAGGCCUAACACAUGCAAGUCGAACGGUAACAGGAAGAAGCUUGCUUCUUUGCUGACGAGUGGCGGACGGGUGAGUAAUGUCUGGGAAACUGCCUGAUGGAGGGGGAUAACUACUGGAAACGGUAGCUAAUACCGCAUAACGUCGCAAGCCCAAAGAGGGGGACCUUCGGGCCUCUUGCCAUCGGAUGUGCCCAGAUGGGAUUAGCUAGUAGGUGGGGUAACGGCUCACCUAGGCGACGAUCCCUAGCUGGUCUGAGAGGAUGACCAGCCACACUGGAACUGAGACACGGUCCAGACUCCUACGGGAGGCAGCAGUGGGGAAUAUUGCACAAUGGGCGCAAGCCUGAUGCAGCCAUGCCGCGUGUAUGAAGAAGGCCUUCGGGUUGUAAAGUACUUUCAGCGGGGAGGAAGGGAGUAAAGUUAAUACCUUGGCUCAUUGACGUUACCCGCAGAAGAAGCGCCGGCUAACUCCGUG
This 490-nucleotide ribosomal RNA is filed under the name uncultured bacterium. RNAcentral describes it as "partial 16S ribosomal RNA". It matches the Rfam family "Bacterial small subunit ribosomal RNA", at positions 30 to 507 of the family's 1533-position model. The record is from RNAcentral.